RNAcentral lists this non-coding RNA (29 nucleotides) under Bombyx mori (domestic silkworm). Lineage: Eukaryota; Metazoa; Arthropoda; Insecta; Lepidoptera; Bombycidae. The record is from RNAcentral.
UUUAGCAAACGAUGAACUAUAAAUCCAGC